This is a long non-coding RNA of Alligator mississippiensis (American alligator), 5426 nucleotides long. RefSeq lists it as uncharacterized. The transcript is spliced from 2 exons. The record is from RefSeq and is a predicted model, not a curated record. NCBI's taxonomy places the organism in Eukaryota, Metazoa, Chordata, Crocodylia, Alligatoridae.
GACAGGUUUCCAGGCACAGCUCCCGCUUGAAUCCUCAUUGGAGGACUCUGACAAAUUGAUUGCUCCCACGGAGUUUGCUAGGCUCCGUGGGUCCGGUUAAGUUGGGUUCGAAAAGUUUCCCCGGAGUUACUUAGGCUCCGUGGGUCUGAAGUUACAGGAAAGGGAUACGUCUAGGAUUGCGCUUGGUGAUGGGGAGAGGCGAGAAGCGAAAGCUCUGUAGGUUCGGUUCUAUUGCCUCUAUUGCCUGCUUAGGGGAGGCGCGUCGGGUCCGCGAGGGUCCGCAGCGCUUGGAGAUCUUCACACAGAAUCUCUCUCGUCCUCCCACCUCCGGCUUGGGCGGAAACUACCCAAGCCUUUUGUACGGCUAGCAAGCCAAUUGCUAGCCGCCACGUGUGCCUAUAUUAGGAAUGGGCCAAUAACGUGGCGCAAAUCCUAAUACAAAUGGCGGGAACUUCUUUACAGCGUGUAUCACUACGAUGCAAAAGAAAUGCACACUGCAAAAAAGCUGUAAUCUGGCGGGAAAUCCCCCGUUGCACCAGAGUUCUCUCUUGCAGCAGAGAACUCUACCGUGCAAAGAAAGCAACAAAUUGGCGGGAAAUAAUUUAGCGAUGCCGAAGUGCGCACACAAACAAAAAAUAACAACUUUGGGUUGUGACAUUACCUACAGGUUAACAGGGGUGAUUCUCCCUAUUUCAAGCCAGUGUUGAGAGGUACUCGGGUACUGUGGUGGUAGAGUCUGGAUAAACAGAAGUUUAUUCACAUUGUAGGAGGUUGAUGGCGUGCCACCUGGAACUGAGUUGUCUCCCUAUAAAUGGUACUGUUUUGCCUUUCCAAAAAAUCACCUUCCACACCUUUGAUGUUAUGGGAGAUGGAUGUUGAAACACUCUUGGGGAAACAAAAAUGUUAGGGGCUCACAGAAUCGGCCGGUCUUUGCUGGGCUCCACUAUCCCCAUCCCCUGCCCUAACCACUGCAGAUGUUCCAGGAGCAUUGGUACUGGCCUCUGAUGUUGAUACUCUGGUCUCGGUCUUAGGGAUCACUGAUAGGAAUCUCUCUUCUCCUUCAGCUGCUUGCCCCGUUCUUACCUGCAUGGGUCCCAAGUCAGCCACCUUUGUUUCUAGUACCACCCUUACCUUCACGGUCAGGACAGACUCACUCCCUCUUGGAGAGUAAACUUGUCCAUGUCUUCGCUUUGUUCAAGGUUCUCAUAGUGGUUAACUUCACCCCCCCAGGAUGGGACUCACUGGCCGAGCAGUUUCCUCCAUUCCUGUGCCACCUCUCCCUUGCAGAGCAGCCUCCUUGCUGGAUCUGUCCAGACUAAAUAAGUCCUGGUCCCUCAGCCUUACCUCACAAGUCAUGUGCCCCAGCACUCUAACCAUUUCUAUUGCCCUCCACUGGACUCUCUCUAAUUUGUCUACAUCCUUCACGUAGCAAGGGGUCCCAAACUGGACACAGUACUCCAGAGGAGGCCUUACCUGUGCUGAACAGAGGGGUAUGAACACUUCCUUUGAUCUUCUGUCAGUGCUCCUACCAAAGCAGCCCAGUUUACCAUUUGCCUUCUUCUCAACAAGGACUUGUCAAUAGAUACGCAAGAUGUGUGGGACAGAGCUAAGACUAGAACUCUGAUUUCCAGUCCUGUUCCUGGACCAUUGUAAUUUAUCUAGAAAACAUUUGUUGAGAACAUUGAAGACAUGUAGGUGCGGAUCUCCGUGAAUCGCACCAUCCCAGGCUGAGAGAGCCAGAUGUGUCCUUACAUUGUCAUCACGAACGAAAAGGCCAAGAAGAUUGUGAUCAUGGACGUCACCAUCCCAUUUGGGAACUGGCGCAAGGCUUCACUGACGCCUGGGCUCACAAGCGGGAGAAGUAUACUCUGCUGGUCAACAUCCUGAGGGGCCAUGGCUAUGAUGUGAUGGUCGAUGCGCUCAUCAUGGGAACACUUAGAGCAUGGGAUCCCAGCAACGAGAGCGUCCUGCAUGCCUGCUGUAUCUCCCGCCGCUAUGCCAAGCUGAUGCACUGGCUCAUGGUGUCCGACAUGAUCCACUGGUCCCGUGACAUCUAUGUGAAGCACAUCAUGGGCCACCACCAAAACACCAACCCUGCCAGGCUGACUGCCACUGGACUGGACCCAUAGGGGACCACCUGAACCUCCCUCUGCACCUGAUGGACUUUGAGAAGAAUCUUCAAAAACGGACCACCCCGCUCCACCCAAAGAGGACCCCCAUGAUGAGACUCUACAUGGACUGAGAAACUUUCUCCAACCUACUCCUUUCACCAUUGCAGACCAUUGUAUGGGUUUGUGUGUAUCUAUCUUCUUUCUCUCUCAGCAUCAUGAAUUCCAUCCCUCCCGUUCAUAGUUUCAUAGUUGGUAGGGUCGAAAGGGACCUGAGCAGAUCAUCAAGUCCAACCCCCUGUCACGGGCAGGAAAGAAUGCUGGGGUCAAAUGAUCCCGGCUAGGUGAUUAUCUAGCCUCCUUUUGAAGACCCAAAGGGUAGAAGUGAGCACCUGAAUCUACUCUCGGUCAACUAUGGCCGUUAAUCCUCGUUACUCUUGGUAGUGCUUGGGGGAACAGGGACUCUUCCAUAGCCUGCUGGUCCCCCUUGGCCAGUUUGUACAUGGCCACCAGAUCCCCUCUCGGCCUUCUCUUGUGGAGGCUGAACAGGUUCAGGUCCCAUAGUCUCCGCUCAUAGGGCCUGCCUUGCUGCCCCCUGAUCAUGUGAGUGGCCCUCCUCUGGACCCUCUCGAUGUUGUCCACAUCCCUCCUGAAGUGUGGCGCCAAGAACUGGAUGCAGUACUCCAACUGUGGCCUGACCAGUGUUGUAUAGAGGGGAAGGAUCACCUCCUUGGACCUGCUCAUGCAUCUGUGGAUGCAUGACAAGGUGGGGUUAGCCUUCCUGACCGUGUCCCCACAUUGGCGGCCCAUGUUCAUUUUGGAAUCAAUAAUGAUACCAAGAUUCUUUUCUGCCUCUGUGCUGACUAGAAGGGAGUUCCCCAGCCUGUAGGUGUGCUGCUGGUUCUUCCUCCCCAGGUACAGUACCUUGCACUUGUCAGUACUGAAUCCCAUCCUGUUCUCAUCUGCCCACCCCUGUAACCUGUCUAGAUUUAGUUGCAGCCUGUCCCUCUCCUCCUGCAUGCCCACUUCUCCCCACAAUUUAGUGUCAUCCGCGAAUUUGAACAAGGUGCUUUUCAUCCUCUUGUCCAGGUCACUGAUGAAGAUGUUGAACAGUAUGGGCCCGAGGACCGAGCCCUGGGGAACUGCACUGCCCAAAUCCCUCCAGGUCAAAAAAGACCCAUCCACCACCACUCUCUAGGUGCAGCCCUCCAGCCAAUUUGUGACCCAUCUGACUGUGUAGGCAUCAACGUCACAGUCACCUAAUUUCUUAAUGACAAUGGGGUGAAAGCCAGUGUCAAAGGCCUUCCUAAAGUCCAGAAAGACUAUGUCCACCGCGACACCUAUGUCCAAGGAUUUUGUGACCUGGUCAUAGAAGGUCAUCAGGUUGGUCUGGCAGGAUUUGCUCUAAUGAACCCAUGCUGGUUGCCCCUAAGCAUGAUCUCCCCUGCUGGUCCCACCCCCUUCCCUACCCCCAGGCUUAGUUGGCUAACAUUGUAUUUUCUGUAACCUAGUUGCAUUCCCCUCCUCACCUCCAUCCCUCUUAUGUUAGUCUCUUGCUUGGGAGCUCUGUAUUUCUGUACUGGCUUUUUGUCAUCUUUUUGGUUCAUAACUGUUAACACCUACUAAUAAAAUUAAUUCUGCCCAGGUAAACAUGUGCUAAGUAUUAACAUUGCUGUUAAAUACACAUAUGAAUUUUCCAGUCCACAUAUGAGUUUUCCAGUCUAAGACCUUAUGUAACCAGAAAUCAGUUCUGAUUCUGCAGCAGUAUAGAAUUUUGUUUUGCAUGAUUUUAAUUAAAGAUAAAGCCAUAUAACAUUUACUGAAAUGAAAAUGGGGUUAAAGAAAAAAAAUGUGUGUACUUUGCAACCUCUGGAGAACUUGUCUAUUUCAAACCAGUUUGGAAGUAGUUGAACGUAUAUUAAUAUUCUUUAUUUGAAUCUAGUUUUCAUUUGAUCCCCUGCUUUACUGUUUCUAAAAGAAGAGUAUAUUUAGUUUAUAAAGGAAGAUAAGUAUGUUUACUUGCAGACAAGAAUGGCUUCUGUUUAUCAGCUAGAGAUCCCUAUGGAAUCUACCACAACCUCUGCUAAUGUGGAAAAUAUUGCUGUGUUUGCAGAAAUUCAGAAAUACAUUAUAUGUUUUUUUUCUUCAAAAGAGGCACAGGCUUUCCCCCCCAAUUUUUACAACAUUUUGUUACUCUUACAGCUUUAAUUUUAUACUGUUGCUCAUAGCCUAAGAGUUGCUAGAGGAGUUGCCAGUAACAAAAAAAAUGUUGAUGCCUGAUUCAAAAUGUAUUGGGCCUAGUAUCAGGCUGUUUCACCAUUCAGUAUGCACAAUGCACCCGGUUUUCAAAAAUGGAUGUCUUAAUAGGCUAUCCAGAUCUCACCUUUAGAUAUUCAGAAGAGUAUUUGGCACAUUCAUCAUAGGAAAAAUGUCUAUAUGAUUGAAGAGAUUUGAGUUUUAGAUAUAUUUUUAAGGGGCUACAACAAAAACCUAAGUAGAAUAAAGAUACCUGAAUCCAAAAUUGCAAUUCUGACAACCCCACUUCACUGCUGCCUAACCCCACAGCAAAUAAGUUCAAUAUAUAGCUCUGGUUUUGACAGGAAAUUGCCCCCGCUACCUAUAGUCCCCCUUCCCCCCCAAUACCUAUAGUUCUGUUUUUGCAUGCACACAGAAAUAUUUCAAUCGUGACUGAGCUUAGCAGCUCAUCUUCCAUCUCAAAGCUAAGACCCAUAUGCUGGGUGUUCCUUCAUCCAUCCCACCCAAGAGGCGUGAUUCAGAGUGUACUUAUCAGAUUGGUCCCCACAAAAUGCAAGGCUGUUGAAGCUUUCUUUUGAAAGAGUGGUGAUGGAACCCUUUUAUCCAAUAAUGCACUAGAUGGGGUUCUUGCUUCAUGGGAAAUCCAUGCUUGCUUCCUUUCUCUACCAAAAGAACAUUUCCCAUUUCCAUGAAGAAUGCACUAACUAUACAAUAUAGGCUACUCUGGGGUGAUGGCACUAUCGACUCAUCUACUUCAUAGAAGUGAGCCAGAGAGAAGAGAGAGGGAAUGAUUCUUAGUCUAGUGGUACCAGUAGGGGGUUGGGCUCAAGUCUCUGUUCCCAUGAUUACAUAUACUUUUCAUCCAAUGACUAUAUCAAGUAAAACAUGUAAACAGUCCUUGAAACAGUGACUAGAACACAGUGAUACCUCUUCAAGGGAAAUCCCUGAACCACCAGGCUAUCAAGUCAUGUUACAUUUGUUCUUUUGCUCAAUGAAUUUUGUAUGUUUUAUGAAACGUGGAACUCUCUUGAGAGGUAGAAUAAAGAGAAAUGAAUUAAUUGA